UCAGACCACAGUAGGAUUUUAAAAAAAAAUUAACUUUUUUAUAUUAAAACAAUUAGAAAAAAAUAUAUAAAUAAUAAAUAUUAAAGUUGAUGUCCGUUGAGUCGUUGAUAGUAGAUGUACACCAAAACCUCGUGACAGUUGUCACAUAACCAUAUAGAUCAGGGAUGACCUUAUACAAGGCCGUUGCCCGUACCUUAUAAACUAGGGGAAUUGAUUUUUGAAAGGAGAAAAAAAAAAAAAAAUACACGAGUCCAUUGAAGAUGGAACACGCAAAACAGAAGAAACAGAUGAUGGUUAAGUUAAAUUAAGGGGACUUUAUUAAAAAAAAAAAACAAAAAAAAUUAAGUUAACACGAGGCAAAAAACCGAGUCUACAAAUUAAAGGGGACAAAGAAAGAGAGAAAAAAAAAACAGAUAUUAAUAAAAAAAUAGUUACACCUACACUUUUAUUAUUAUUAGAGAAUACGAUGAACGUCUUCGGGUACCCGCCGGCUAUUAAUCGCAGCAUUGCCGCUAAGCACGACAGGUAUACGUUCCAAGUAAGCGACUGGUUUCUGGCAGUUAGACUUAGCUUGCAAGACGUUGGGACACCCCGGAAUAAAAUGCACUACGUCACCACAUUGUACCAAUAAUAUAUACAUCACCCAAUAAAAUAUGACAUAUAACCUAUAUAAAAAAUAUAUAUAACAUGACAGGUGGUAUUGGAACACGCCUGCCAUGUUGAGGGACCAAAAUAAAAAAAAUGGGGCACCUACAAAAAAAAACUAUAUAAAAAAAUUCGCCACACGUGCUUAUGGCACGGCGCACUAAUAACAAAAACUGGCUCAAAACAUUAACUACUAAACGUAUACGUUACCAGCCCCUAAGGGCUCAAGAAGCUGGAGGCAGGUUUAGCCGACGCCAUUAAACAAAAUAUUUACAUAAUCACAACAUAGCGGACACUCGCGAAAAUAUAUAUAUAUAAUUAACAGUUGCAGCGCACACAACAAAAAAAAACCGCUGUGGACGAAAAUUAGCGACGACCCGUUCCGAUGAUGGCUAAUUUCCGACAACCCGUCCGACGUUUGACCCGGCGGUCCGUUGGCGACCAAACGGCUAGCCUUUAGAGUAGGGGUCAAAAAAUAACUAAAUACCCAGUGCCGGAAUUAUUAAAAACAAUUUAAAUCAUAUGGCGACAAUGUAUGCGAUGAGCAGUGCAAAUGACGUUCAAGAUAGGAAAGGAGCGGGGUGAAUGUACACACAAAUGCCGUCCAUGAACCGGUCUGAAGUAGUACACAGCUGACUAUGUCGCACGCGCAUAAACAAAUCACACACCUUAUCAUGAUAAUUUUACCAACAAACGCCGUCGCAGUCCGCAUUCGGCUCAACACAAAUGUAUAUAUACAAAUAGACAAAAAAAAAAACAACCAGAUACUUUUGUCACGUUACAAUAUAAUUGAUAUUUUCUUACUUUAUUUUCAGUAUUAGCGUUAUCAAACUAUUCAAGAACUAAGUAUUGUUGUAUCUUUUCUAUGUCAAUGCUACAUUCAUUUUCCAUUUCAAUAUCAUCAUCUCUCGUUUUAUCCUCACAAAGAUUAGAAACCAAUCAUAUUCUGUGUCUUGUUGACAGAGAUACAAAUGGUUUUUUUGACCUAGAUAAUAAUCGUUUUGUAGAAGUUAAUGUUAUUUUUAUAGCAUUAAAAAUAAUGAAUAAAGUAAUAUAUAGUAAAAAUAUUACUUUAUGCUUUAUUCGUGUCGUUGAUUUAAAAUACGAUUGGUAAUACUGAAUAACUGCUUUAUACACGCCAAUCGACGUGACGCCCGCCGUCAUGACGGUUAUCGACAAAUAGCCGUUUUGUUUUUACCCAUUCACAACGAUUCACAUGUUAUUUAACUUUAUACUUCCCAUUUAAAUUUGAUGUGUUUUAUGAGCGACAUGAAGUAUGUAUAUUAAAUGUAUUCUACUUUACUUUUAUGGGAUUAUGCUGAUAAUUUUUUUAAAAAAUUAUGAUUUUUAUUGUUUUAAUGAGUAAUCAUCGUUGGGUUUUUAGAAAGUAUAUAGUGUUUGAAUUUGAUGAUGGGCUGAGAGUUUUGCCAAAAAACUGGCUACAAAUUAAAAAUAAUAUGUUUUCUUCGACCAACAUCAAAUGAAAAAAAAUUCAACAACGCUGUUAAAAAUAUGUCUUCUCCAAUUUCCAAUUGGAAAACAGUCAAAUAUAACAAGAUUGUUGGAAUGAGUGAUUUAUUUGAAAAUGCUCAAAAAAAAACUCUCUAAUAUAAUACAGUACAAUUUUUCUGAAGCGGCUGAUAAUGAUGAAAAUAGUUAUCAAAAAACACAAAGAAAAUAUAGAGCAAAAAAAAUAUUUAUUUAAAGUGAUGAAUAUGUUACUGGAUCUCCAAGAAUCAAGACGUUUAAGAUGAAAACUCCAAAAGUUCCAAAAUUAACAAUACUGCCUUCAAACUUUCAUAGUAUGCUAUCUUUAUCAAAAUUUUAUUACAUUAUAAAUAAUUCUAUUUCAAUAUUUAUGUGUAUUAUUAUGUACAUUUAUUUAUA
Molecule: long non-coding RNA, 2532 nt
Organism: Daktulosphaira vitifoliae (grape phylloxera)
Lineage: Eukaryota; Metazoa; Arthropoda; Insecta; Hemiptera; Phylloxeridae
Exons: 3
Source: RefSeq, a predicted model, not a curated record